Long non-coding RNA from Helianthus annuus (common sunflower), 2935 nucleotides. RefSeq lists it as uncharacterized. The transcript is spliced from 8 exons. The record is from RefSeq and is a predicted model, not a curated record. Lineage: Eukaryota; Viridiplantae; Streptophyta; Magnoliopsida; Asterales; Asteraceae.
UUCUAAAUCAAUCUCCAUCGUCGGAUCAUGCUGAAAUGAAAUCUGAGCCAUUUAAACUCCCAAAAAUAACCGAUAUGGUGGCGGUUUAGAGCAGUUCGGAACAGUUUUCUUAUUUGGUGGUUACCUCCUUAUUUCCUGCCCAUUAUCUCCACAACUCUAAGCUUCCUACAAACAUGGGUUUCAGCCUUAUAUACAGUUUAGGGCAGUUUCACACUCUCUCUCAUAGGCUCCUGCAGUUGGGACAGUUUACGUCCAUGAUGCACACGUUCUCCGCUACCUUUGCCAUUUUCUUCUUCCCAACCACCCUAUGCCAUCCAUUAUAAACCCUCACCAACAUCGUCAAAGUCUCCACGUUUGCUUUCUUCUAUGUAUUCGCGAAUCAUCCUUCUACACCCUAGACAUAAAUUUGAUGAAUCACCUCACUAUCGAUUCAACAGAUUUCAUGAUCAAGAACCAAUUGACGAUGACGCCAUUAAGGAUUGGACACCUUGUCGUCUUGGUGAUUAUUUCGAUCAAUAGUCAGACUCGGUUGCCUUUAUGUUCAAGGUUUUAGAUCUACAUUACUAUUGGGUUAUAUCGAGUCAAAAUUACGAUGCUGAUGGUGUUGGAUACUCGACACAACAAUGUCUUUAUCCCAGUUUAUAUUCCACAACACUCUUCGGUUAAGAUAAGCCGGCAGAAUCGUCAAUUUGACUCAAUUGACAUCUGCUUUUAGAUGUUCGGCUCACUGGUUUGAUGCCCUGAUUUUGACAAAUUGAAAUUGGUUCACCAAGUCUGAUGUGAAGGACAUUUGGAUUACCCGGAAAUACCAGCUGCAUCCAAAAGUGUAGCUUUACAAGAUCAUUUAUGCAUCACACUUUGGGCUUUUUCGAGAAAGAUGGAAAAAAGGAAAACUCAUACAGAUUCUUUCUGCAGAUUGCUUGUAUUUUUAUUGCACAUGACAACAUCUGCAACAUUUACAGCUAGCGAGUCAACCCGUUUAAAUUAUCUGUCUAAACGGGUAGCUGUCGAUUUUAGAAGUUUGGAAAUAGGUGGCUUCGUGGCUGCAGAUGCCACUUCCUUCUGGUCUGAUUUUAGUUUCAGAGUUGCUAAGGUUUGUUGCUGAGAUUAAGGCCUGCAAAAUAAAGGAAAAAGCUUGGGAAUAAGUGUCUUUAUUAACGUUUUGGAGGCUCUGGCUCAAUCGGAAUGACAAGAUAUAUAGAGGGGUUAUGCCUCCCCUCAAAAGAUGAUAGGUGAGAUUAAGGAAACUUCGUACACGUGGAUUCAAAAUAGAACCAAAUGGAGGCACAUGGAAUGGAACGCAUGCAGCAAAAAUUUUGUCUACAACUUGGAAAUCGGUCGAGGAACGUCAGUUUUGGCGAUAGAGUUGAGCAGACCCCCACCCUGCAAAAAAGGCCCUAUAUAUUUUACCCAAAUGAGGUUACUGAUCGUCCACUAGAUAAGUUGCGUUCCACUUUAAUAUUCUCCUUUUCCAUCAUACAUAACACAAUUCUGUAUUAAGUCUGAUUUCGGAGUUAUAUGACGAUUGCUAAUUGAAAUGUUGUUGCAUAUGGUUUUUUCUUUGUGCAGUAUACCUUCUACAUAUGGAGUAUUAUGGCACACGUGAUUUAUCCUACUGAGUCUUAUAUGUUGGUUUAUAAUGAAGAUUGGUAUAUAAUAAAGAGUUCAUGCAAGUGUCCCUGAAGAAAUUAAAAGAUUGUGUGAAACCAAAAAAAUAACUAUGUUUACAAUUUAAGUGGUAUGUUUAAAAAAAAGAAAUACAUAAUGCACGUUUGUUGAUAGUUCUUUGCAGGCAAAAACUAAUUUAGGCAUUUUAUGUAAGUUUUAAUUUUGAUGCCAAAGUGUGAGUUCCUUAGUAAUAAAUCACAUUGAUUCUUAUUCUUUUGCAUAAAAAAAACAACAUAAGUUAAAAGAAAAAUGAUGAUAUAGAUUGUUUACACUGAGCCUUUUAGAGUUAAUGUUCUUGCUCAAGAAGCUGCAGGGGUCUGGCUUUCUAUAUUGGCUGGUAAGACAUGUUUUUAAAUUUAAAUUGAUUAUUUCAUUUAUCUAGACCUGGCAAACAGGUCGGGUCGGGUUAUGGGUCAAAACGGGUCAAUUAAAAAACGGGUUGUUUUUGUUCGGGUCAGAACGGGUUUGGAUCAAAACGGGUUCGGGUCGGGUUGGUUAAAAAAUGUAUUUUUUUUAAGUAAUCGUACAUCAAGGGCCAAGGGUGGCUUUCACAGGCUAAAUGAGUGUUGUCGGUGGCCUUUGCCACCGACUUUGUAUUUUAAGUUAGUAUAGAAUGUCAUUCUACCGGGUUGACAUACAUAUAUGUCAAAUGAGUGGGGUCACACUAUUUUUUAUUAUAAUAUACUCUUAACUCAAAAUGUUCUUCAGUCUUCUUUAUAGUAUUAUAGUAUAUGAUAAUCUCAUUUUUCGUGACAUGAAUUUAUGUGUAUGGAAGUCAAUUGGUAACAUUGUUUUGUCUUUUUGCAGGGUAUUGUUAAUUUAUUAUUUGUAUCAUGUACAUGAAUUUCUAAAUAUCCCGCAGUAGAUGAUGCUAGAUGCACAUCAAAUUCAUCAUAUGUCCACAAUGCAGCAAGUCAGUAAGAAUCGAUGGUUGUUGAUGUGAACCAUGAGGUUGCCUUAGUAGUAGUAGACGAUGCCAAAAAUACACCAACUUUGACAAAUGGGCACCAUACAUCAAGUCAACAAGUCGAAAAAAGGUCAUCUUUGAGGUUAAAGAGAACGAUCCAAAAGCCAAAAAAAUUGAGGGAGUAAACCAUGUUUGACUGUUACAACACUUUUCCACAGUGUUGCAUACCGUUUACUUUUGCAUUAAAAUGGCACCAUUUCAUGUUUUGUCACUCUAUCACUUUUAUUUUAUAUUGUUGUGUGGUUGUACACUAUUCACGUUCGUUUUCCUUUUAUAAAUUAAAAAUGGUGCUUUUGUUUA